CAGUAGCCGCGGGAAUACGUAGGGUGCAAGCGUUAAUCGGAAUUACUGGGCGUAAAGCGUGCGCAGGCGGUUAUAUAAGACAGAUGUGAAAUCCCCGGGCUCAACCUGGGAACUGCAUUUGUGACUGUAUAGCUAGAGUACGGCAGAGGGGGAUGGAAUUCCGCGUGUAGCAGUGAAAUGCGUAGAUAUGCGGAGGAACACCGAUGGCGAAGGCAAUCCCCUGGGCCUGUACUGACGCUCAUGCACGAAAGCGUGGGGAGCAAACAGGAUUAGAGACCCGUGUAGUCCCUGUCUCUUAUAC
This 301-nucleotide ribosomal RNA is filed under the name uncultured bacterium. RNAcentral describes it as "partial 16S ribosomal RNA". It matches the Rfam family "Bacterial small subunit ribosomal RNA", at positions 509 to 807 of the family's 1533-position model. The record is from RNAcentral.